UUUGAUUUAAGAAUUGACUUUUACCGAUCAGUUUUCCUGGUGCAACCUGGCCCGACGCCAAGGCGUGCUCCUAAGAGGGUUAAAUCAAUACUUAAACUUGACAAGUUGGAUGAUAUUAGCAAUGAGUGGAUUGAUUCUGACGUGCUAAUAUUUAAUUCUGGGCACUGGUGGACACCAAGUAAACUUUUUGAAAUGGGCUGCUAUUUUCAGAUUGGUGCUUCACUGAAGCUUGGAAUGCCUAUCACUACUGCCUUCAAAACAGCAUUAAACACGUGGGUAUCCUGGGCUGAGACUACCAUCAAUGCAAAUAAAACAAGUUUAUUCUUCAGGACUUUUGAAUCUUCCCAUUGGAGUGGCCGG
RNAcentral lists this unclassified non-coding RNA (360 nucleotides) under Hevea brasiliensis (rubber tree). Lineage: Eukaryota; Viridiplantae; Streptophyta; Magnoliopsida; Malpighiales; Euphorbiaceae. The record is from RNAcentral.